AGAGUUUGAUCAUGGCUCAGAACGAACGCUGGCGGCGUGGAUAAGACAUGCAAGUCGAACGAGACUUUUCGUUGUAGCAAUACGAUGGAAAGUUUAGUGGCGAACGGGUGCUUAACACGUGGGCAACCUGCCAGGAAGUGGGGGAUAGCUCGCCGAAAAGGCGAAUUAAUACCGCAUGUGAUUAGAGAGGACAUCCUUUCAAAAUUAAAGUCGGGGCAACCUGACGCUUCUUGUGGGGCCCGCGGCCUAUCAGCUAGUUGGUGAGGUAACGGCCCACCAAGGCUUUGACGGGUAGCUGGUCUGAGAGGACGACCAGCCACACUGGGACUGAGACACGGCCCAGACACCUACGGGUGGCAGCAGUCGAGAAUUUUUGACAAUGGGGGAAACCCUGAUCGAGCGACGCCGCGUGGAGGAUGAAGGUCUUCGGAUUGUAAACUCCUGUCAUUGGGGAACAAUGCACAGAUAUUAACUGUAUUUGUGUUGAUAGUACCCGAAGAGGAAGAGACGGCUAACUCUGUGCCAGCAGCCGCGGUAAUACAGAGGUCUCAAGCGUUGUUCGGAUUCAUUGGGCGUAAAGGGUGCGUAGGCGGCGCGGUAAGUCGGGUGUGAAAUCUCGGAGCUUAACUCCGAAACUGCAUUCGAUACUGCCGUGCUUGAGGACUGGAGAGGAGACUGGAAUUUACGGUGUAGCGGUGAAAUGCGUAGAUAUCGUAAGGAAGACCAGUGGCGAAGGCGGGUCUCUGGACAGUUCCUGACGCUGAGGCACGAAGGUCAGGGGAGCAAACGGGAUUAGAUACCCUAGUAGUCC
Molecule: ribosomal RNA, 811 nt
Filed under: uncultured bacterium
Lineage: Bacteria
Description: bacterial SSU rRNA
Rfam family: Bacterial small subunit ribosomal RNA
Source: RNAcentral